AUUGAACGCUGGCGGCAGGCCUAACACAUGCAAGUCGAACGGUAACAGGAAGCAGCUUGCUGCUUCGCUGACGAGUGGCGGACGGGUGAGUAAUGUCUGGGAAGCUGCCUGAUGGAGGGGGAUAACUACUGGAAACGGUAGCUAAUACCGCAUAAUGUCGCAAGACCAAAGAGGGGGACCUUCGGGCCUCUUGCCAUCGGAUGUGCCCAGAUGGGAUUAGCUUGUUGGUGGGGUAACGGCUCACCAAGGCGACGAUCCCUAGCUGGUCUGAGAGGAUGACCAGCCACACUGGAACUGAGACACGGUCCAGACUCCUACGGGAGGCAGCAGUGGGGAAUAUUGCACAAUGGGCGCAAGCCUGAUGCAGCCAUGCCGCGUGUAUGAAGAAGGCCUCGG
This 396-nucleotide ribosomal RNA is filed under the name uncultured bacterium. RNAcentral describes it as "bacterial SSU rRNA". It matches the Rfam family "Bacterial small subunit ribosomal RNA", at positions 30 to 420 of the family's 1533-position model. The record is from RNAcentral.